CGAACGCUGGCGGCAGGCCUAACACAUGCAAGUCGAACGCUCCGCAAGGGGAGUGGCGCACGGGUGAGUAACACGUGGGAACCUACCUUCUGGUACGGAACAACCAAGGGAAACUUUGGCUAAGACCGUAUACGACCUCCGGGUGAAAGAUUGAUCGCCGGAAGAGGGGCCCGCGUCCGAUUAGGUAGUUGGUGAGGUAACGGCUCACCAAGCCUUCGAUCGGUAGCUGGUCUGAGAGGAUGACCAGCCACACUGGGACUGAGACACGGCCCAGACUCCUACGGGAGGCAGCAGUGGGGAAUAUUGGACAAUGGGCGCAAGCCUGAUCCAGCCAUGCCGCGUGAGUGAUGAAGGCCUCGGUUGUAAG
RNAcentral lists this ribosomal RNA (367 nucleotides) under uncultured bacterium. RNAcentral's name for it is "bacterial SSU rRNA". It matches the Rfam family "Bacterial small subunit ribosomal RNA", at positions 30 to 429 of the family's 1533-position model. The record is from RNAcentral.